Molecule: transfer RNA, 71 nt
Filed under: Sinocentrus brevicornis
Lineage: Eukaryota; Metazoa; Arthropoda; Insecta; Hemiptera; Membracidae
Description: tRNA-Lys
Source: RNAcentral
UAUUAAGAUACUAAAAGCAAGUAAUGAUCUCUUAAAUCAGUAUAUGGUAAAUUAGCGAAUACCCUUAAUGA